This 740-nucleotide ribosomal RNA is filed under the name uncultured bacterium. Its description in RNAcentral is "bacterial SSU rRNA". It matches the Rfam family "Bacterial small subunit ribosomal RNA", at positions 8 to 796 of the family's 1533-position model. The record is from RNAcentral.
AGAGUUUGAUCCUGGCUCAGAGCGAACGCUGGCGGCAGGCCUAAUACAUGCAAGUCGAACGCACCUUCGGGUGAGUGGCGGACGGGUGAGUAACACGUGGGAACGUGCCCUUCGGUUCGGAAUAACUCAGGGAAACUUGAGCUAAUACCGGAUAAGCCCUACGGGGGAAAGAUUUAUCGCCAUUGGAGCGGCCCGCGUCUGAUUAGCUAGUUGGUGGGGUAAUGGCCCACCAAGGCGACGAUCAGUAGCUGGUCUGAGAGGAUGAUCAGCCACACUGGGACUGAGACACGGCCCAGACUCCUACGGGAGGCAGCAGUAGGGAAUCUUGCGCAAUGGGCGAAAGCCUGACGCAGCCAUGCCGCGUGGAUGAUGAAGGUCUUAGGAUUGUAAAAUCCUUUCAGCGGGGACGAUAAUGACGGUACCCGCAGAAGAAGCCCCGGCUAACUUCGUGCCAGCAGCCGCGGUAAUACGAAGGGGGCUAGCGUUGCUCGGAUUUACUGGGCGUAAAGGGCGCGUAGGCGGACAGUUUAGUCAGAGGUGAAAGCCCAGGGCUCAACCUUGGAAUUGCCUUUGAUACUGGCUGUCUUGAGUACGGGAGAGGUGAGUGGAACUCCGAGUGUAGAGGUGAAAUUCGUAGAUAUUCGGAAGAACACCAGUGGCGAAGGCGACUCACUGGCCCGUUACUGACGCUGAGGCGCGAAAGCGUGGGGAGCAAACAGGAUUAGAUACCCCGGUAGUCC